UUCCGGUUGAUCCUGCCGGAGGCUACUGCUAUCGGGGUCCGACUAAGCCAUGCGAGUUGAGAGGGGUAAGCCCUCGGCAUAUUGCUCAGUAACACGCGGAUAACCUGCCCUUGGGUUUGGGAUAACCCCGGGAAACUGGGACUAAUACCGGAUAGAUCAAAGAAACUGGAAUGUUCUCUGAUCGAAAGCUCCGGCGCCCAAGGAUGGGUCUGCGGCCUAUCAGGUAGUAGUGGGUGUAACGUACCUACUAGCCUACGACGGGUAAGGGUUGUGAGAGCAAGAGCCCUGAGAUGGAUUCUGAGACAUGAAUCCAGGCCCUACGGGGUGCAGCAGGCGCGAAAACUUUACACUGCGGGAAACCGCGAUAAGGGGACCCCGAGUGCCAGCACCUAGUGCUGGCUGUCCAGCUGUUCAAAUAACAGUUGUUAGCAAGGGCCGGGCAAGACCGGUGCCAGCCGCCGCGGUAACACCGGCGGCCCGAGUGGUAGCCGUUAUUAUUGGGUUUAAAGGGUCCGUAGCCGGCCUAUUAAGUCUCUUGGGAAAUCUGGCGACUCAAUCGUCAGGCGUUCAAGAGAUACUGGUAGGCUUGGGACCGGGAGAGGUGGGAGGUACUCCAGGGGUAGGGGUGAAAUCUCGUAAUCCUUGGGGGACCACCGAUGGCGAAGGCAUCCCACCAGAACGGGUCCGACGGUGAGGGACGAAAGCUGGGGGCACGAACCGGAUUAGAUACCCGGGUAGUCCCAGCCGUAAACGAUGCUCGCUAGGUGUCAGGUGCGGUGCGACCGCAUCUGGUGCCGCAGUGAAAACUUGAAGCGAGUCACCUGGGAAGUACGGUCGCAAGGCUGAAACUUAAAGGAAUUGGCGGGGGAGCACUACAACGGGUGGAGCCUGCGGUU
This 896-nucleotide ribosomal RNA is filed under the name archaeon enrichment culture clone EAr24. RNAcentral's name for it is "bacterial SSU rRNA". It matches the Rfam family "Archaeal small subunit ribosomal RNA", at positions 1 to 902 of the family's 1478-position model. The record is from RNAcentral.